This 892-nucleotide long non-coding RNA is filed under the name Marmota monax (woodchuck). The record is from RNAcentral. Lineage: Eukaryota; Metazoa; Chordata; Mammalia; Rodentia; Sciuridae.
CCAAACAGCGCCAGCCCUGCACACUAACAGCUGCAAAAGCCCUCCACUAUGGCCAGGGCUCACAAAGGACCCAGGGAAACGCGAGACAAAAUGUCCACUGGAGAGACCCCAGGAACAAGCACAGCCCAGUCAUGGGGAUGGAUCCGAGUCUGCUAAGUUAGGUCCCAUCUUCUCCCCAUUCACAAAGGACCGGAAGGAACUGCCAGAAGGGCAACCACCAACACCCAACAGCUGUCACAGGGCUCCUGCGGGGCCUCGGCUUCCACCCAACAAACGAUAGGCGCCCCCAGGGACAGGGGCAGGUGCUGGUGGCCCAAUGUCCCUGUGGGUCCAGCUGCCGUGGCACUCGAUGGUGCAUGCAGUUGGACUCAGUUCCCUUGCCAGACAGAGACCCCAAGCCCCAAGCGGGGGUGGACAGCAGCUGAGCCAGCCCCAAGGCAGGGACCCCCCUGCAUGGACACAAGAGAGCAGGGCCAGGCUCCCACCCCCUCAUAGGCCUCUGGAGAAGCCAGGGCUUCAUUCAGCAGGCUGCACGGACAGUGCAUGGGGAAAACAGAGCUGACCAAAACCUGCCAUGCCGAGAGCCUCAGACACAGGGGGCCUGCUCACCCGUGCCUCGCUGGCUGGAGUGGAGGGAGGCUCAGGCCUCAGCACAACCCAGCCCCCCCUAGCGACAUCCGACCUCAUGGGGGGCAGGUCAGGGCCAAAUAGGAAGCUGCAGGAACCCAAAAGAUUAACUCAAAACCGAAGUCCCAGCACCACCAGCUGGCCCUGGCGACCCCACCCCCCCCUCUCAGAGGGCAGUCCUGGGAUGCUGGAAGGUGGCACCGCCCCACCCCCCCAAACAGAUCCCCCCUCCGCGACCUGACGCCCCACUCCGGCACUGUCCCCU